RNAcentral lists this ribosomal RNA (1447 nucleotides) under Bacillus subtilis. Its description in RNAcentral is "16S ribosomal RNA". It matches the Rfam family "Bacterial small subunit ribosomal RNA". The record is from RNAcentral. Lineage: Bacteria; Bacillati; Bacillota; Bacilli; Caryophanales; Bacillaceae.
AUACAUGCAGUCGAGCGGACAGAAGGGAGCUUGCUCCCGGAUGUUAGCGGCGGACGGGUGAGUAACACGUGGGUAACCUGCCUGUAAGACUGGGAUAACUCCGGGAAACCGGAGCUAAUACCGGAUAGUUCCCCUGANACCGCAUNNNGNNGUUCAAGAGAUGAAAGACGGUUUCGGCUGUCACUUACAGAUGGACCCGCGGCGCAUUAGCUAGUUGGUGAGGUAACGGCUCANCCAAGGCGACGAUUGCGUAGCCGACCUGAGAGGGUGAUCGGCCACACUGGAACUGAGACACGGCCCAGACUCCUACGGGAGGCAGCAGUAGGGAAUCUUCCGCAAUGGACGAAAGUCUGACGGAGCAACGCCGCGUGAGUGAUGAAGGUUUUCGGAUCGUAAAGCUCUGUUGUUAGGGAAGAACAAGUGCAAGAGUAACUGCUUGCACCUUGACGGUACCUAACCAGAAAGCCACGGCUAACUACGUGCCAGCAGCCGCGGUAAUACGUAGGUGGCAAGCGUUGUCCGGAAUUAUUGGGCGUAAAGGGCUCGCAGGCGGUUUCUUAAGUCUGAUGUGAAAGCCCCCGGCUCAACCGGGGAGGGUCAUUGGAAACUGGGAAACUUGAGUGCAGAAGAGGAGAGUGGAAUUCCACGUGUAGCGGUGAAAUGCGUAGAGAUGUGGAGGAACACCAGUGGCGAAGGCGACUCUCUGGUCUGUAACUGACGCUGAGGAGCGAAAGCGUGGGGAGCGAACAGGAUUAGAUACCCUGGUAGUCCACGCCGUAAACGAUGAGUGCUAAGUGUUAGGGGGUUUCCGCCCCUUAGUGCUGCAGCUAACGCAUUAAGCACUCCGCCUGGGGAGUACGGUCGCAAGACUGAAACUCAAAGGAAUUGACGGGGGCCCGCACAAGCGGUGGAGCAUGUGGUUUAAUUCGAAGCAACGCGAAGAACCUUACCAGGUCUUGACAUCCUCUGACAACCCUAGAGAUAGGGCUUUCCCUUCGGGGACAGAGUGACAGGUGGUGCAUGGUUGUCGUCAGCUCGUGUCGUGAGAUGUUGGGUUAAGUCCCGCAACGAGCGCAACCCUUGAUCUUAGUUGCCAGCAUUCAGUUGGGCACUCUAAGGUGACUGCCGGUGACAAACCGGAGGAAGGUGGGGAUGACGUCAAAUCAUCAUGCCCCUUAUGACCUGGGCUACACACGUGCUACAAUGGACAGAACAAAGGGCUGCGAGACCGCAAGGUUUAGCCAAUCCCACAAAUCUGUUCUCAGUUCGGAUCGCAGUCUGCAACUCGNAACUGNCGUGNNNNNNNAAGCUGGAAUCGCUAGUAAUCGCGGAUCAGCAUGCCGCGGUGAAUACGUUCCCGGGCCUUGUACACACCGCCCGUCACACCACGAGAGUUUGCAACACCCGAAGUCGGUGAGGUAACCUUUAUGGAGCCAGCCGCCGAAGG